This 116-nucleotide ribosomal RNA is filed under the name Periophthalmus magnuspinnatus. The record is from RNAcentral. Lineage: Eukaryota; Metazoa; Chordata; Actinopteri; Gobiiformes; Gobiidae.
UUAUAAGACCAAAUAUUCUUGUCAAAGCCUGAUCUUGUUAAAUCUCUGAAGCUGAGCAGGUCCAGGCCUGGUCAGGGCUUGGAUGGAAGACUUCUGGGAAUACCAGGUGCUAUAGU